RNAcentral lists this long non-coding RNA (818 nucleotides) under Cricetulus griseus (Chinese hamster). RNAcentral's name for it is "lncRNA (ENSCGRG00000024489.1)". The record is from RNAcentral. Lineage: Eukaryota; Metazoa; Chordata; Mammalia; Rodentia; Cricetidae.
CACUGGGCCUGGCUUGAGCUUCUGAAAGCUCAAAGCCCACUCCCAGGGACAUACUUCCAACAAAUCCACACCUACUUCAGUAAGGCACUAGUGCCGCUCCCUGCAUGCCUAUGUGGGCCAUUUUCUUUCACACUACCACAAUUGUGUCCAAAUUUAUCAUCUAUUUAUUUUUUCUUACUUUUCAUUUAUUUUGGGUGUAUGUGUGUAUAGGGUGAGUGUAUAAAUGAGAGAGACAAAGACAUUUUUAUUGAAAAAUGUUUGAUGCAAUAGUGUAGCAGAAGCUGUAGCUACGCCUGCCUUGGGGUGUGUCUGAGCAAGCCUGCGAGGGCGUGGUCAGGGUAAUGUAGAGUGAGAGGCAUUCAGGUGGUGCUGCAGUUUCACUUUCGGUUUCUCCCACUUUCGGCUUGCUGUUCAGACUGCUGCAACGCCAGCUGGCUAGGUCGCUCUUAGCGAUUCUAAUGAACCAUACACUUUCUUAACUGUGGAGGAAAAAAAGACAAAACUGUUAUUUGGAGCCGAAUCGAGCAGGCAGUUUAACAAGCAACAGGAAAUGUUUAAAAGCACCAAGAUCAUUAUCCAGUAAAAUUAAAUCUCCAAACCAAAGGGCUGAACACUCAAUCCAUGGGAAUUCUUCAAGUGGAACUACUAUCAGCCUCAAGAACACAACUAUGCAGGUAAAGCCAUACACUGUACAGGUAAAGCCACACAUCUGUAUGGGGAAAACUAUUAGAUAUACUGGACCAUCUGGGGAGAGAAGAGCAAUUCAAGCUGUCCCCAGCCUGAGCAGUGGUGUGUCCUCCUCUCAGCAGGUUCAGAUG